GUGUGUGUGUGUGUGUGUGUGUGUCUGUGUAGGUUUUUCUGGACAGCAUGUACUAUGAGAGAACACUUCCUAUGAAUAGCUGAUUGGGUUGAAAUAGGUAGGUACUAGAGUUACCAGAGAAACUGAGGAUUUGCCAAUGUCAAGGCCAUGUAU
Etheostoma spectabile (orangethroat darter) is the source of this 153-nucleotide long non-coding RNA. RefSeq lists it as uncharacterized. The record is from RefSeq and is a predicted model, not a curated record. The transcript has 3 exons. Lineage: Eukaryota; Metazoa; Chordata; Actinopteri; Perciformes; Percidae.